CAGAUAGUCACUGUAUUCAGUGAUUCAGAACAGAUCAAAGUAUAUAAAAUAAACUAAGCAGAAACAGAAAAAAAGCAAAAUAGGUGCAAGUCGCUGUUAUCCCCAAAUAAAAUAUUAAACAAUCUCUGGAUUUUAGAAGAAGCAGUAGUAGAUCUCUAACAGCACUGUGAAAAUCACCCAUGCUACUUCUACUCAAGUCUUAACUAUAACAAAUUUCAAAAUUUGCUACACCUGAUACACCAGAUUUAUCCAUGUUAGCUGAUUUCUUGCUAGCUGACAGCACCUGUUUUAUUCUAAACUAGUUACAGCUAAUUGUCAAUAAAUGGAGAGAAGGUAAUCUUGCUAUUGUGUCUUGACUGUUUACUGGCAAAUGUUCUUAAAGCUUUUCUUUUUUUUUUUCUUCCUUCUCUUCCUUUUAGGUAAAGUAUUUCUAUAUGUGUAAGUUUGCAGGGGAAAAAAAGAGUAAAAUAAAUAGCAGUCAUUAAUGAUCUUUUCCCUAUGAUUUCUAAAGCUGGAAAUGUGUUUGUGUAGCUGUUUUGUGUUGCUGAUUAAUGUAAUUGAGCCUCAAUUAGCGAGACCAAAAAAGUGUAUUUGAUUAUGCAAUGGCUGGAAGACCACUAAAUAUCAGAUUAACCAGUUGGACACACUGGAUAUUGGCAAUUAUUCUGCUGCUGUGGAGUCAUCAGGUCAGUGGACAAGGACAAGUGUGUGUCAGGCUGAACCAGAAGGAAAAUUUGUGUCACAGUGGGUCUUCCUCGAAAGAUCUGCUACUGUCAGGAUGAUCUAGGUCCCAAAAUGUUCCUCCUUCAAUCCUGAGAAGAAUGCCAUUUUUGUCCUUUGGCUUGUUGUUAGGAAUUUAGAUGUUUUGGCAUAAGCAUAGUCUUUGUGUUUGUCCAAAUCCCAGACAAGUUCCUCCUCCUGGAGGAAAAAAUCAUUAAUUUUCUAAUGGCUUUUGCAGUACAAUUUUGUUUCUUCAGCAGUUUCACCCUCUCUCUCCAUUUCCCUGUUGCACAAACCUGCACUGAUGUACUCCUCCCAGUGGCUGAACCUGACAAAUCUUUUUUCAAAUCACAAAGAUUCUCUGAACUUUCUCUUGAGCAACCUUGAAUUUUUCCCCACUCUAAGC
This 1126-nucleotide long non-coding RNA is filed under the name Phasianus colchicus (ring-necked pheasant). Its description in RNAcentral is "lncRNA (ENSPCLG00000021226.1)". The record is from RNAcentral. Lineage: Eukaryota; Metazoa; Chordata; Aves; Galliformes; Phasianidae.